AGAACGAACGCUGGCGGCGUGGAUAAGACAUGCAAGUCGAACGGGGUUACUUUUGGUAGCAAUACUAAGAGUGACUUAGUGGCGAACGGGUGCGUAACACGUGGGCAAUCUGCCGAGAAGUGGGGGAUAGCUCGCCGAAAGGCGAAUUAAUACCGCAUAUGAUCAGGGACGACAUCUUCCCAACAUCAAAGCCGGGGCAACCUGGCGCUUUUUGAGGAGCCCGCGGCCUAUCAGCUAGUUGGCGAGGUAACGGCUCACCAAGGCUAUGACGGGUAGCUGGUCUGAGAGGACGAUCAGCCACACUGGGAUUGAGAACGGCCCAGACUCCUACGGGGGGCAGCAGUGAGGAAUUUUCCGCAAUGGAGGCAACUCUGACGGAGCAACGCCGCGUGCAGGAUGAAGGUUUUCGGAUCGUAAACUGCUUUUCUCGGGGACGAGCAAGGACGGUACCCGAGGAAGAAGCCCCGGCUAACUACGCGCCAGCAGCCGCGGU
This 493-nucleotide ribosomal RNA is filed under the name uncultured bacterium. RNAcentral's name for it is "SSU rRNA". It matches the Rfam family "Bacterial small subunit ribosomal RNA", at positions 26 to 521 of the family's 1533-position model. The record is from RNAcentral.